GAUGAACGCUGGCGGCGUGCCUAAUACAUGCAAGUCGAGCGAACAGACGAGGAGCUUGCUCCUCUGACGAUAGCGGCGGACGGGUGAGUAACACGUGGAUAACCUACCUAUAAGACUGGGAUAACUUCGGGAAACCGGAGCUAAUACCGGAUAAUAUAUUGAACCGCAUGGUUCAAUAGUGAAAGACGGUUUUGCUGUCACUUAUAGAUGGAUCCGCGCCGCAUUAGCUAGUUGGUAAGGUAACGGCUUACCAAGGCAACGAUGCGUAGCCGACCUGAGAGGGUGAUCGGCCACACUGGAACUGAGACACGGUCCAGACUCCUACGGGAGGCAGCAGUAGGGAAUCUUCCGCAAUGGGCGAAAGCUUGACGGAGCAACGCCGCGUGAGUGAUGAAGGUCUUCGGGUCGUAAAACUCUGUUAUUAGGGAAGAACAAAUGUGUAAGUAACUAUGCACGUCUUGACGGUACCUAAUCAGAAAGCCACGGCUAACUACGUG
RNAcentral lists this ribosomal RNA (497 nucleotides) under uncultured bacterium. Its description in RNAcentral is "partial 16S ribosomal RNA". It matches the Rfam family "Bacterial small subunit ribosomal RNA", at positions 28 to 507 of the family's 1533-position model. The record is from RNAcentral.